This 853-nucleotide ribosomal RNA is filed under the name Triticum aestivum (bread wheat). RNAcentral describes it as "partial small subunit ribosomal RNA". Lineage: Eukaryota; Viridiplantae; Streptophyta; Magnoliopsida; Poales; Poaceae. The record is from RNAcentral.
GUGGAGAGAGGGAGAAGAGAGAGAGAGAGCAGAGAGGGAGGGGGGCGGCGGCGACGGAUGCAGCGUGCUAAGACCGCACAAGGCCGGCCGCUCGGAGCGGUUGCGCGUCGUGUCUAGGCUCGGGGGACGGAGGCGAGAAGGGAAGGGAGGCCGGUCUAGGCGGAGAGCACCGGGGCUCUCGAGUCGGUGCUGGGGAAGGCUACCGAUCCCAAGGCUCCCACCGCAGGGGAGGUUGAGGCCGCGCCGCUGCCGCUGAGACGAGGCGGGAGAGGCUUCGGGUGGCGUUCAGGGUACCCGCCGAGGCGGAGCACCUACCAUGAGGACGUGGGCCACCGACGCCCCGCCUGCGCGUGUAGCCCAUUUGAGGCCGCUCCGCCACCGAGGGAGGCCGCCGAGGGAGGUGCCGUACUGCCGCCACGUGACGUAGCCGAUUUCGUGGUGGUACCAACUGUUUUUACGAGACGUAGAACUCUUCGUUUAUAGAAUUUUGAAACUGAACCUAGAGCUGCCGCUGCCGUAGGUUGCUUGUGUUCCAGCGAGGGUUGGUUGUUCAAAAAAAGAAGGUUCAAUUAUUACACCUAACACUGCAAACAGACACGUGACUAAAAGUCUCACCUACCGACAUGGUAAAUUAAAACUAAUGAUCGUGAUCAUCAACAUAAGUCACACUCGACCUUCUGAUUGACUAAGUCAAAAACUUCGGUAGAAACGACAAGACCAACACAAACGUGUCGAGUGAACAACAGUCACGUCAAGAGAGUGUGUAUAAACAAACAACCCCAAAUUAAAGAUCUUAGUACAGAGAUUAACGUAAGCAUUUAAAGAUCGGAAUUAACAAAAAAACAAUACCAGU